GUGGGGAAUAUUGGACAAUGGGGGGAACCCUGAUCCAGCCAUGCCGCGUGUGUGAAGAAGGCCUUUUGGUUGUAAAGCACUUUAAGCGAGGAGGAGGCUACCGAGAUUAAUACUCUUGGAUAGUGGACGUUACUCGCAGAAUAAGCACCGGCUAACUCUGUGCCAGCAGCCGCGGUAAUACAGAGGGUGCGAGCGUUAAUCGGAUUUACUUGGCGUAAAGCGUGCGUAGGCGGCUUUUUAAGUCGGAUGUGAAAUCCCCGAGCUUAACUUGGGAAGUGCAUUCGAUACUGGGAAGCUAGAGUAUGGGAGAGGAUGGUAGAAUUCCAGGUGUAGCGGUGAAAUGCGUAGAGAUCUGGAGGAAUACCGAUGGCGAAGGCAGCCAUCUGGCCUAAUACUGACGCUGAGGUACGAAAGCAUGGGGAGCAAACAGGAUUAGAAACCCCGGUAGUCC
This 451-nucleotide ribosomal RNA is filed under the name uncultured bacterium. RNAcentral's name for it is "partial 16S ribosomal RNA". It matches the Rfam family "Bacterial small subunit ribosomal RNA", at positions 354 to 796 of the family's 1533-position model. The record is from RNAcentral.